UACGGGGGGGGCAAGCGUUGUUCGGAAUUACUGGGCGUAAAGGGCUCGUAGGCGGCCAACUAAGUCAGACGUGAAAUCCCUCGGCUUAACCGGGGAACUGCGUCUGAUACUGGAUGGCUUGAGGUUGGGAGAGGGAUGCGGAAUUCCGGGUGGAGUGGUGAAAUGCGUAGAGAUCCGGAGGAACACCGAAGGCGAAGGCAGUGUCCUGGGGAGUACCUGACGCUCAGGUGCGAAAGCCAGGGGAGCGAACGGG
This 253-nucleotide ribosomal RNA is filed under the name uncultured prokaryote. Its description in RNAcentral is "partial 16S ribosomal RNA". It matches the Rfam family "Bacterial small subunit ribosomal RNA", at positions 524 to 776 of the family's 1533-position model. The record is from RNAcentral.